UUUUUUAAUUUUUAAAAAAUUUUGGCCCACUGUGCAGCUUGUGGGGUCUGUUUCCCAACCAGAGACUGGACCUGGGCCACAGCAGUGAAAGCACUGAAUCCUAACCACUAGACCACCAGGAAACUCUCUCUUCUCUGCUGAUUAUAUUCCUCAAAGUGCUGAAUGAAUGAGUGAGUGAGUGAGUGAAUGAAUUCUCAGGAAAGAAAUGAAGGGUCAUACUGAAUGCAAUGGUGAAGGACACAAAAGCGUGGAAAUAGAAGUCAGACCAAAGGAGUUUUCUACUCACCUGGCCUCCCAGUGAUUUCACUGGUCCUCAGUUAAUCCCCCUUCAGUUCAGUUCAGUUCAGUUCAGUCGCUCAGUCGUGUCCAACUCUUAGUGACCCCGUGAAUCGCAGCACGCCAGGCCUCCCUGUCCAUCACCAACUCCCGGAGUUCACUCAAACUCACGUCCAUCGAGUCGGUGAUGCCAUCCAGCCAUCUCAUGCUCUGUUGUCCCCUUCUCCUCCUGCCCCCAAUCCCUUCCAGCAUCCCCUUAAAGAGGGGAAAACAGACCACCUCCCAGACCUCCUUAGUCAGCAUACGGAAGGCACUCAAGCCGUUAGCUGUGCCUCCUUCCUUAGAAAGAUCUAGAAAAGAGAAGAGAGGUGCAGCAGUGUCCAGGGCUGUGGAGAUGGAGACCACAAAGGACAGCUGCCUCAAGCCUGCUUUUUCACCCCAGGGCAUUUUGGAGGUGUGCAGGUUUGAGAAAGCACUAGAAGAGGAUUUUUUUUUUUUUAAUAAAUGGCAACUGCAAGAUUACAGGAUAAAAGCACCUGUAUCUCCAUCUCAAGUAAUUAGUCCCAAAUCAAGAAUAAAUACAAAAAAAGACAAAUUCCACCUUCGGUGACCUGGGUUUGCCAGACCCGAGGGUGGAGAGCCAGCGGGGGGUGGUAGGUGGACCGACAGGGAAGAAUGAGGGCGGCACUGAGGGAAGCAGCUCCUUCGUCCCCUAGAAUCUAGGAAGGCAGGGACUGAAGGAACAAGGCACCAGGGGAGGCAUGAAGCGGGAGCCAAAGGCAGGGAUUGUCCCAGCCCUGUGAGAGGAGGGCAUAGACCCGGCCAGGCCCAGCCUGUUGCAUCCAGCUAGCCCCCUCAUCCUCCUCAGAACACAGCAGACUGGCUCUGAGGAGGUGAGCCAGAGAUGCUCUUGGCUUGUGAAUGCCAAGCGAAGUGUGGGGAUGAGGGGACCAGGCUAAAAGCAGAAGUGAAAGGCUCUUCUGCACAUGAUCACAAAGUUUCAGAUAGCCAGGAGCCAGGCUUGUGCUCCUUGUGAAUGAAAAGUCCAUUCUCUGAAGAAACUGGAGUGCCCCUGUGUGAAGACCUUCAAUUACUGACAUGCUUGGGUUCCCAAUGAAAACACCAGGUUAGCCACCUGCCCCCACACAGAUAACUACCAAAUGGAGCCUGUCCAGACACCCAUGGCUCCCAAUCAACUUGUUAGUGUCACACUUAUAUAUGAAUGGGUUACUUACGAUUGUCAGUCAGUUUGGGGGGAAACCUGCAACAUGAGAGAGACAGUAACCAAAACAAACUGAGAAAAGGAACACUGAGGAAACUGAAUUAAUACAGGGGUGAGCAGACCAUUAAAGCAAUUUGAUCCGUAUCUUCUGAGAUGUGAGACUUGAUCACAUCCAGGAAACAUAAUUAGGAUUCCAUAAGAAAGGAAAAAUUGGAAAUAGGAUCUAGAAACAAAAAAUGUGAUACUAUAGAAUCUGGAAAUAAAAAAUUGCUCUACCCCACCCCCAUUAUGUUUUCCAUGGAUGAAAAGUAAGGUCAAGGAAAUCUCCCAGGAAGCAGAACAAAAAGGCAAAUAGUUGGAUGAUCACAGAGAAAAGACAAGAAAGUAAGAGAAUUUAGUGAGGAGACCCAACAUCCAGUUAAUAGGAGCCCUUAGAAAGAGAAAACAGAAAGUAUAACAGGGAGUAAUCAGAAGCCAACCCAAACUAGAAUAAGGGGAAAAAAUGGGUGAGGAUGUGUCGGCCACAUUACUAAACUGACUUCAGGUGUGGCCAGUCCCAGGGCUCCCUCCACCACCAGCACUCUCUCUUCUGGUCUUCAGCCCCACCCACUGCGGAGUGUGCUUCACCUGCAGGUCCCACACAGCAGACCCAGAGCAUCCUCCUCCCCCUCCCUCUCCUCCUGCCCCUCCUCCUUUUCCUCGCUACCCACCCCGCCCCAGCCACCACCCGCCUCCCCUUGGCUUCCAGCUCAGCAGAGAAGAAAGCUUGACUCUGUCGCAGCACACACCUGUGCCCUGAUCAUGAUAGCGAAGACCAUAUGGCAUGGUGUGAAGAGUGUGGACUCUGGUUUCAGACUACCUAGCUUAUCUAGAUUUGAGUACCUCCUGGGGAAGAAAAAAAGAAAAAAGAGGCUUCUCUUUAUCUUCCUCACCCUGCCCCACCACCCACCCUGAAAAAUGCUUGUUGUCACUGACCACGUUUCGCUAGAAGGUGCUGAGGUGAACAGAAAAAUAUUCUUGAGUAGCAUCUCCAAUAAAACAAAAGCUAAAUCACAUUUCUACCACAAGAGGGAAUCCAUUUUAUCAAGGACCGAACCAAAUAACUAGCAUUUCAACAGAGAAUUCGUUGCAGAAACCAUGAACAUUACAUCUGAACUUUUUGGAUGUUAAAAAAAAAACUACAGGACUUUUGCUUCUGGGAAGAGCAAGCAGACAUGCUUCUCCCUGUUCUCUAAGCACAACAAAACCCUGGGACGUUAUACACAAAACAGACAUAGAAAGACUCUGAAAGGUGGAAGGAAGACAGGCUGGCCAGGGGCUCUGGGGCCUGAGCAACAAUAUGGUGGUGAGUUCCCUUAUCUGUUUUCAUUUUUUUAACCUCAUGUAUCCCAGACUUGGAGCUAACGAAGCCAGCAACCCGGAAAUACCAAAAGGCACAGACAAAAAAGGCCCCCGUGAAAACCUGCUGUCUCUAGCCAAGGAUGAAGACAAGAGCAGCCUAACAAGGCAGAAACAGUCAGACAAUGACUGCUGUGCUCCUGCCAGACCCUGGGAAAACUGGCCUGUCCAGCAGAGGCCGAGCGAGGCCCAGACUUUCUCCCUUGCCAGGCUGUGAUGAGGGGCCCCUCCUCCUUCCUGCCCGAGGAGGCCAAGAGCUCAGACUUUGAUUCCUCCCACCUGCUAGGCAGUACCGAGGCCUGAAAUUCUACCUCCACCU
This is a long non-coding RNA of Bubalus bubalis (water buffalo), 3215 nucleotides long. RefSeq lists it as uncharacterized. The record is from RefSeq and is a predicted model, not a curated record. NCBI's taxonomy places the organism in Eukaryota, Metazoa, Chordata, Mammalia, Artiodactyla, Bovidae. The transcript has 2 exons.